Molecule: ribosomal RNA, 492 nt
Filed under: uncultured bacterium
Lineage: Bacteria
Description: partial 16S ribosomal RNA
Rfam family: Bacterial small subunit ribosomal RNA
Source: RNAcentral
AGUGAACGCUGGCGGUAGGCCUAACACAUGCAUGUCGAACGGCAGCACAGUAAGAGCUUGCUCUGACGGGUGGCGAGUGGCGGACGGGUGAGGAAUACAUCGGAAUCUACUUUUUCGUGGGGGAUAACGUAGGGAAACUUACGCUAAUACCGCAUACGACCUACGGGUGAAAGCAGGGGAUCUUCGGACCUUGCGCGAUUGAAUGAGCCGAUGUCGGAUUAGCUAGUUGGCGGGGUAAAGGCCCACCAAGGCGACGAUCCGUAGCUGGUCUGAGAGGAUGGUCAGCCACACUGGAACUGAGACACGGUCCAGACUCCUACGGGAGGCAGCAGUGGAGAAUAUUGGACAAUGGGCGCAAGCCUGAUCCAGCCAUACCGCGUGGGUGAAGAAGGCCUUCGGGUUGUAAAGCCCUUUUGUUGGGAAAGAAAAGCAGCAGGUUAAUACCCCGCUGUUCUGACGGUACCCAAAGAAUAAGCACCGGCUAACUUCGUG